UAUUCCCGAAAAGGGGGAAAGGAUUUGGGGGGGACAAUCGCGGAGCCUCUCGCUGGCUUUAGGGAGAGAGGGCUGGGGUAGAGGAGAGCCCCAGGGAGCAGGCAGAGGUGGGUUGGCUAGGGCCUUGUGUGACUUGGGCUGAGAAACUUCACUUAUUCCCUGGCGCUGGCAGUUGUCAAACUGGGUCUUGUAGAUGCUAAGUCUCCAUAGAGGUAUCGUACAGUUCGUCCAUCAACUGAUUACUGCUCAGUCACCUCAGAUGAUACCACUGGGAGCCAGAGAACUGCCUAGCUGUGCCCUGCCUGAAUGUCUGACUCAUCACUCAUGGGGGAUGACCUUUUUCCUGAAGAAACUGCUGCAGAAUGAAAGCUCCAGGCGCUUGGGUGCAGCAAGUAGGCUAUGCAUUUCCCACCAGCAGGAAUCUAGCUCCUGGCCAAGGUGAGCCACGCAGAGCAGCAGCCACGGGUAUCAUCCUCCCAGGAGGCAGAUCCCAAUUCGCGGAGAAGACCCGGCCAGCGGGAGGAUGCCAGCCUCAUCCUCAAGGCUGGGAUUGGGACUCUUUCCAGAAGGAACGACCUCUGUGCUUGAGUUGGUUGGGGGGCGCAAUGGAUUCUUUAACACUGGGGAAAUUCAUACAGAUGAAAGUGAGAGACACAUGACAGUGAACUGUA
RNAcentral lists this long non-coding RNA (671 nucleotides) under Homo sapiens (human). RNAcentral describes it as "HSALNT0039701". Lineage: Eukaryota; Metazoa; Chordata; Mammalia; Primates; Hominidae. The record is from RNAcentral.